UACAGAGGUCUCAAGCGUUGUUCGGAUUCAUUGGGCGUAAAGGGUGCGUAGGCGGCGCGGUAAGUCGGGUGUGAAAUCUUGGAGCUUAACUCCGAAACUGCAUUCGAUACUGCCGUGCUUGAGGACUGGAGAGGAGACUGGAAUUUACGGCGUAGCGGUGAAAUGCGUAGAUAUCGUAAGGAAGACCAGUGGCGAAGGCGGGUCUCUGGACAGUUCCUGACGCUGAGGCACGAAGGUCAGGGGAGCAAACGGG
Molecule: ribosomal RNA, 253 nt
Filed under: uncultured bacterium
Lineage: Bacteria
Description: partial 16S ribosomal RNA
Rfam family: Bacterial small subunit ribosomal RNA
Source: RNAcentral